UACGUAGGUGACCAGCGUUGUCCGGAUUUACUGGGCGUAAAGAGCGCGCAGGCGGUCGUUCAAGUCGAGUGUGAAAGCCCCCGGCUCAACUGGGGAGGGUCAUUCGAUACUGAUCGACUUGAAGGCAGGAGAGGGAAGCGGAAUUCCCGGUGUAGUGGUGAAAUGCGUAGAUAUCGGGAGGAACACCAGUGGCGAAGGCGACUUCCUGGCCUGUUCUUGACGCUGAGGCGCGAAAGCUAGGGGAGCAAACGGG
RNAcentral lists this ribosomal RNA (253 nucleotides) under uncultured bacterium. RNAcentral's name for it is "partial 16S ribosomal RNA". It matches the Rfam family "Bacterial small subunit ribosomal RNA", at positions 524 to 776 of the family's 1533-position model. The record is from RNAcentral.